GGUGAGAUGGCCGAGCGGUCUAAGGCGCCAGACUAAGGACUAGGACAUUAUGUCUACAAACGUUGUUCAGCAACAUCUGGUCCUCCGGGGCGUGGGUUCGAAUCCCACUCUCAUCA
This 116-nucleotide transfer RNA is filed under the name Laccaria bicolor S238N-H82. It matches the Rfam family "tRNA". From Rfam's summary of the family: Transfer RNA (tRNA) molecules are approximately 80 nucleotides in length. Their secondary structure includes four short double-helical elements and three loops (D, anti-codon, and T loops). Further hydrogen bonds mediate the characteristic L-shaped molecular structure. tRNAs have two regions of fundamental functional importance: the anti-codon, which is responsible for specific mRNA codon recognition, and the 3' end, to which the tRNAs corresponding amino acid is attached (by aminoacyl-tRNA synthetases). tRNAs cope with the degeneracy of the genetic code in two manners: having more than one tRNA (with a specific anti-codon) for a particular amino acid; and 'wobble' base-pairing, i.e. permitting non-standard base-pairing at the 3rd anti-codon position. The record is from Rfam by way of RNAcentral. Lineage: Eukaryota; Fungi; Basidiomycota; Agaricomycetes; Agaricales; Hydnangiaceae.